CUGUUAUAAUUUAAAGCUUGCUCUAGACCUAAACUUGUGGGAUGAAAACUUAAUCUGAAGUCUAAGUUGUUAACGGAUACGAUAUGGGAAGGUUGAGCUGCUGUUUAUCUGUUCCUAGAGAUGCUAGAAUUCUGGAGAAUUUUAUCUUUGAAAAUCUUUUAAAAUGUUGCAUGAUGAGUUCCUGUAUGAUGAGAGUUUAAAUUCCUACCACAGCCAUAUAUACAUGCUUGCUAGACUUUGAGCUACACAUUUACUAUUUACUGCUUAUGAGCAUUGAGUGUGGUCAAGCUGUGUAGACCCUUAGGAACUUGUCAUGUGGUUAAAUCAAGAUUUCACUUGCACGUUCACUCAUAUAUGCUACUUCUACUCCGGAAGUACCAUCCACAUAUAUCCAUCCAUUUCCAUCUCCAGAACCACCUAAAAAUAUUCUACUCCUGAUCCAGGAGAGAAUAACCAAAAAUAUUUUUGUUUUUCCCUUGUGAAAUAAAUGCUCAAGUUAUCUUGUUACUACCACUUGCUAUAUUGUCUCAAGAGAUGAAUGCUCUAAAAAAAAGAGUGAAAUACGAGGAAAUAAAAAGGAGCAAGUGCUCGGAACCUCGAAAGAAAAGAGAGAGUGAGACGAGAGGUAAAAAUGGACAAGUGUCCGACGGUAGAAUUAGGGGUGCAAGAUACCCACCUGAGAGAAAAGAAAAAGAAGAGCAUCUCAUUCUCCUCAUAAAGGUUCAAAAAAAGCAAGGAAGGUAUGUAUCCCCUCAAAGAGCAAAGUAGAAUUAGACAUCCACCACCAUUGUUUUCACCAUUGUUAUCACCAUCACCACCAUACAUCAUUUAUUCGCCACACAUGCACAUCUUGAUUAAACUCAUUGGCUUGUUUCUUUGGAUCCAUGGUUUGACUAUGCAAUACAUGUCUUGUAAGUAUGUAUACUUUAUUUCCCACCUAUGAGCUCCAGAUAUUAAAGCCUUAUUAGAGUAGGGUGAGAGCGAAGGCAAUGUGACUAUGCCUUAUACCACAAAUACUACAUAUCUUGAGAGAAGGCAUAUACCAUCACUGCCUUGGUAAGGAUCCAGAAAUACCACAAAAGAGAGACCUGAGAGAAUCAUACAAGGAAUCUCUGAGUUUUAUUUGAAAAUCUGCAAAAAACCCCAGAGCUAUAGCUGAUCAAGAAUAAGAAACAUGGCACUUGACUAGACUGUUCUAUCUUUUAACCUCUCAAGAUAGAAGUGAUAGUUACAAGUCCCAUGGUGAAGGUAAAGUAAGUAAGUUUUAAGUCUUGACAGUUUACUCUAGCUUAGAGAUGAGAUCUUAUUUAAAAAGCAUGUGUACCGUCAAAUUUUAAAUAUAUUGCAAUAACUUAUGAUCCAUAGCUGAGUCUAUCCUUGCUCAGGGAUGAGCAAGAGGUAAGCUUGGGAGAGUUUGUUGACGGUCCUUAAGUAUCAAAUUUAAUUAUCAAAUAAAUAAAGAAAAGGAUCCAAAUGAAAUCAACAUCUAGAUUUAGGGUUUUAUCUGACAGAAUUCCACGAGUUUUGGUGUUUGUCUAUUUCUGCAGGGGGUUAUCAGGAAAUAUGGAAGAAAGGCCCACACGUCGGGAUUAUAUAGAGAUAUUAAUGUGCCGCGCAAUUUUUUUACAUCUAGAAGACUCCAGAAGCCACGAGACCGAAGCGGAGGCGAAACGGGGCCAGAGGCAGGGCGCCCGCCCUCCUGCCCUGGGCGCCCGCCCCCUCUGGGAGUCCAAUCAGGACUCUGCUUCGCGGGAGAUCUCCACCGACCUAAAGGAUGAAUCUAAACCAUACAAUCUAUGUCGGUUUGAUCCAAUGGCCCAUAUUCACUUGAAGGGACUACGAAACCAGACCCCCUGGCCCCUGGAGGAGGGAGCCUCUCAACCCUAAUUCAUUGUUCCAUCAAGGGAGAAGAAGCCUCUGAUCAAGAUUAGAGCCACCACAUCAAUUAGAUAUCUAGAUUAGCAUAGCUACAUAGGAUUAGAACUAGAAGGAGUCAAUCUUUGAUUGGUUUCCGGAUCUGUCAAGAGAUAUCUAAUUAUCUUUGUUCUUCAAUAUUAUGAAUAUGACUUUGUUCUACUUCAAUAUAUUGCUUAUGACUUUGCUCUACUUGCUUAUAUUCAAGAUUAUAUUGUUCUUAGUUUAUCAUAGUUAUGUACUUGACUUAGUUAGAUUGGAUCUAUAUACAUGCUUAGGAUCGUAUAGCGUUUAUCCAUCGGAUCCAUGGGUAAAUGAUAGAUAUUGUGUAGGCGUGGUUGUUAUACCGUAUUUAUCUGCGAUUGUACCCAAUAUGCCAGAUCGUGGGGUGGUUCAUGAUAGUGACAACUUCAUUGAUUCUUAUAUAGCCCCCCUCUCGUGUAUUGGGCUGGCAGAGCAACAUUAUUACAGGGGAGUGAUUGCUAUGUUUCUCAUUUACCUUGCUAAUAUCACUAUGCAUGGCCGUAGUCUUGUCUCGCAAUGAUUGCUAAGUAUGCUUGCACUAACUAUGAUAUGCUAGACUAUAUAGUUGAGAAUAACUUAGGGAAUAUUCUUGUAGUUCGUUCUAAUACCAUGCUAAUGACUUUCUAGAGUAUCUAAUUGAGGUGCUUAUCAUAUUUAUUAUGUGGCUAGAUCAGAUUAAUUAUCCUUGUCACUAUUCAUUAUUUCAUAUAUCUUUUAUGUGACACUUAUCCCUGUAUGAAGAGUUAGAUAUAAUGUUCUCAAUUAUACAUGCAAUGAUAGAUGCUCAAUCUCAUAUUCUAUUCUGUAAUCAAUAUUGAUGAUUGCUAAUCCCUUCCUAGUGGUAAAAAUAUAAAUAACAAUACCUGGAAUACUUCCCGGUUAAAAUGCUACAUCGGUAUUAAUCUGUGCGCUUGCAGAUCCCAUUCAUUAUUUAUUUAGAAGAGCAAUUGCAUAUUUCAAUACCGCGUCUCUUAUAUCAUGCUGGGGAUGACAACUUGGCUUAAGUGGUGUGAGGGAUAGGUUUGGCAUUUUUGGCACCGUUACUAGAUUUAGAGAACUUAGUCUACUUUUGGUAAUGAUGUUAAGAAUACCCAACAAUCACCCCUUGUUUAUCUAUCUUAUCCUAUGUAGAUAAGCACAGAGUCUAUGCUUAGCUUGCUUAGUCCGGUAGAAGUCGGCUGAUUCCUUGUCACCUGCGAGAUAUAGAUGGACACCUGUUUGAUUAGCCGUAAUGCUAUGGAGAAAGGUAAACAAGUGUGGAAAGGAAAUUGAGACCGAGUAAGGUCUUAUGGUGGGGUUGACCAUAGUGCCCCUGCCUGUGUUGAUUAAGGACCGAUCGUUGACGACCCUCUUGACAUGUUGAACGCAUGCUCCACACUUAGCUGGAACGAUAAGUCAUUCCGACCGCGAAGCCUGAACACUAUCCGGGCCGGGAGUCGAGCCGCCAUGCGCUGUAUUGGUGAUGGUUGAGGAGAACGACGAGGGCGCGGCGCGCAACCUUGGUAUACCUUGGAUACCUCGGUCGCCGAAACGGUCCUCGGGUACUGGCGGUGCCUGCUGAACCCGCGAUUUGGUCCUGGAUAGUGUAAUACGGUGAUCUGUAGCUCACUUGAUCAGUGUGUGUGGUUUGUGUGGGGAAUAACUCGCCAGCUGGUCAGAAAUCGAUUCAAAUCGCCAUCGCUCCUGGAUAGUGAGCACUUGACAUGAGCCCUGUCCUCGUAGUAAGGACUAUGGAACACUUGGGUUAUGAUGAUUAAUGUUUAUGAAUGCUAUGAUGAGGUACCAUCAUAUUACUACAUUUGUUUGAAAUUGUACAGGUGCAAAUCUAGAUGAUAGGUAAUAAUACCUAACCUGAGCUAAUUAAACGAAAGGAGAGUACUAUUAGGAUGUACUUCUAGUGAGUGGUGCUUUUUGCAAAAAGUCUCAGCUACCCCACUAUACAGCCUUCAUGAUCCUUGAAGAGUCUUUGAUUUAUGUCGGGUAAGUCUAGCUGAGUAUAUUCUCAUACUCAGGGUUCUAUCCCCAUGUUGUUUUACAGAUGGGCAAAUGUACUAUGGUUAUUGCAUCCUCUGCCUAUACUGUUGACAGUCCUUAAGUAUCAAAUUUAAUUAACAAAUAAACAAAGAAAAUGAUCCAAAUAAAAUCAACAUCUAGACUUAGGGUUUUAUUUGACAGAAUUCCAUGAGUUUUAGUGUUUGUCUAUUUCUGCAGGGGGUUAUCAGGAAAUAAGGAAGAAAGGCCCACACGUCGGGAUUACAUAGAGAUAUCAACGUGCCGUGCAAUUAUCUUACAUCUAGAAGACUUCAGAAGCCACGGGAAGGAAGCGGAGGCCGAACGGGGCCAGGCACUGGGCGCCCGCCCAGUUGACCUGGGCGCCCGCCCCCUCUCAGAGUUCAAUCUGGACUCUCUUUCGGAAAAGAUCUCCACCGACCUAAAGGAUCAAGGAUAACCGUUCAAUCAAUGUCGGUUUGAUCCAACGGUCCAUAUUCACUUGAAGGGACUAUAAAACCAGACCCCCUGGCCCCUGGAGGAGAGAGCCUCUCAACCCUAAUUCAUUAUUCCUCAAGGGAGAAGAAGCCUCUGAUCAAGCCUAGAGCCACCACAUCAAUUAGACAUGUAGAUAAGCAUAGCUACAUAGGAUUAGAACUGGAAGGAGUCAAUCUUCGAUAGGUUUCUGAAUCUGUCAAGAGGAUUCUUGGUAAUUCUCUAAUUGUUCUUCUAAUUGUUCUUCUAAUCAUCUUUGUUCUUCAAUAUUGUGAAUAUGACUUUGUUCUACUUCAAUAUAUUUCUUAUGACUUUGCUCUACUUGCUUAUAUUCAAGAUUAUAUUGUUCUUAGUUUAUCAUAGUUAUAUACUUGGCUUAGUUAGAUUGGAUCUAUAUACAUAUUUAGGAUCGUAUAGCGUUUAUCCAUCAGAUCCAUGGGUAAAUGAUAGAUAUUGUAUAGGCGUGGUGCUUAUACCGUAUUUAUCUGCGAUUGUACCCAAUAUGCGAGAUCGUGGGGUAGUUUGUGAUAGUGACAGCUUCAUUGAUUCUUAUAUAGUCCCCCUCUCGUGUAUUGGGCUGGCAGAGCAAUAUUAUUAUAGGGGAGUGAUCGCUAUGUUUCUCAUUUACCUUGCUAAUAUCACUAUGCAUGGGCGUAAUCUUGUCUCACAAUGAUUGCUAAGUAUGCUUGCACUAACUAUGAUAAUGCUAGACUAUAUAGUUGAGAAUAACUAAGGAAAUAUUCUUGUAGUUUGUUCUAAUACCAUGCUAAUGACUUUCUAGAGUAUCUAAUUGAGGUGCUUAUCAUAUUUAUUAUGUGGCUAAGUAUGCUGAUCAGAUUAAUUAUCUUUGUCACUAUUCAUUACUUCAUAUAUCUUUUAUGUGACACUUACCCCUAUAUGAAAGAGUUAGAUAAAUAUUCUCAAUUAUACAUGCAAUGAUAGAUACUCAAUCUCAUAUUCCAUUCUAUAAUCAACAUUGAUGAUUACUAAUCCCUUCCCAGUGGUAAAAAUAUAAAUAAUGAUACCUGGAAUACUUCUCGGUUAAAAUGCUACAUCGGUAUUAAUCUGUGCGCUUGCAGAUCCCAUUCAUUAUUUAUUUAAAAGAGCAAUUGCAUAUUUCAAUACCGCGUCUCUCAUGUCAUGCUGGGGAUGACAACUUGGCUUAAGUGGUAUGAGGGAUAGGUUUGGCAUUUUUGGCACCGUUAUCAGAAUUAGAAAACUAAGUCUACUUUUGGUAAUGAUGUUAAGAAUACCCAACAAGCAUUUUUGGCGCCGUUGCCGGGGAAGGUUGAUUACUAAUCAGGAAUGGAUAUGGAUUUUGAGUUAUCAUUCGCAUCACUAAUAUGAUUGAGCUUAUUAAUUCUCUCAUACAGUUUUACCCCCAUAUUUUUCUAUUUUAUCUUAUGCAGGGUAAUGUAUGAAUAGAAGACAUCUUCUAGUAAAUUUUGUUGACAAUCCCGAAGCAUUAUUUAGAAAAACAAGAGCCAAGCUCAAGAAGAGAUCAUCAACACUUCAGCAAGAAGCUUCAUCCAAUCAAGAAGAUCAUCAGAACUUGUCUUCAGAGUUCGAAGCUAUGGCGAACAAAUCGAUCCGUGAGUUCUCAGCUCCCACUACGGACAACAUCCGCACUGGACCUGCUGUAGAGAUCGAUGGCAACUUUGAGCUCAAGCCUGGACUUAUCAACAUGGUGCAAUCCAACCAGUUCUGUGGGAAGGCACACGAAGAUGCUAAUGCUCAUCUCCAACACUUUCUGGAGAUUUACAAGACAUUCACCAUAUCAGGAGUCCCCAGAGAUGCUAUACUACUUUGCCUCUUCCCAUUCUCACUGUUGGGGAGAGCGAAGCAGUGGUUCUAUGCUACAAAGGAGAAGAAUACUACGUGGGCACUCUGCUCAACAAACUUUCUGGUUAAAUUCUUUCCCAUGGGCAAGACCAAUGCUCUCCGUGGGAAGAUUACAAGUUUUCAGCAACAACAUGAUGAAUCUGUUCCAGAAGCAUGGGAGCGCUUCCAAGACUACAUCCUAGAAUGUCCCCAUCAUGGAAUGGAGAGUUGGCUACUAAUGCAGACAUUUUAUCAUGGGCUCGGCAACAGUGCCCGAGAAACCAUGGAUGCUGUAGCUGGAGGAGCAUUGCUAUCACUUACCAUAUCACAAGCCACAGCUCUUGUGGAGAAGAUGGCGUCCAACCAAGGCUAGAAUAAAGAGAGGACCCAGACACGCAAGAAAAGUGGAGGUAUGCAUCAGCUCAAGGAGGUAGACAUGUUGUCUGCUAAGCUAGACCUACUCAUGAAGAAGCUCGAUGAUAGAGCUAGAGAUAAGAAGGAAGUUAUGCACAUCUACGACUCUCACAUGACUUGUGAGGAGUGUGGAGAUACUGGACACUCAGGCAAUCACUGCCCUGAGAUGCUUGAGGAUGUGAACUACAUCAACAAUAACAACAACAACUACUACAACCGUCCUCAACAAAAUCAAGGUUGGAAUCAACAGAGGCCUAACUACUCAGGUAAUUAUCAAGGUAAUAAUUCUUACAACAAUAAUAAUAAUUUCCCACUUCUAAGAGAGUUAGUGUCUAAUAAAGGAAAGCUAAUGGAUAACCUAUCCAAGAAAUUGGCAUCUAAUGAUAAAAUGCUAGAAAAUAUAAAUAAUAGAAUGGAUAAUUUCUCUUCUGCCAUCGAGAAUCAAAUUAGCUUUAAUAAAAUGAUUGAAUCCCAGUUAAAUCAAAUAGCUGCUGCUGUUCCUGCUACUAACCUCGGUAUAUCAUCACAACCGGAAGGAUUAGAAUCUGUAAAUCUUGUAGACAUGUUUGAUGCAUGUAACUACUGGAGUAACCCCGUCACUGAAGUUACUACUGACCUUCUGCCGGUUGUUGACGGUUCUUAAGUAUCAAUUUUAAUUAUCAAAUAAACAAGAGAAAGGACCAAUAUGCAACCAACACCUAGAAUUAGGGUUUGAUCUGACAGAAUUCCAUGAGUUUUGUUGUUUAUCUGUUUCUAUAGGGGGUUAUCAGGAAAGAAGGAAGAAAGGCCCACAUGUCGGGAUUACAUAGAGAUAUCAACGCACCGCGCAAUUUUCUACCAUCUAGAAGACUCCAGAAGCCACGGGAAGGAAGUGGAGGCCGAACGGAGCCAGGCCCUGGGCGCCCGCCCAGUUGACCUGGGCGCCCGCCCCCCUGCACAGUUGGAUGAGGACUCUCUUUCGGCACUAAUUUCCACCAACCUAAAGGAUCAAGGAUAACCGUCCAAUCAAUGUCGGUUUGAUCCAACGGCUCACGUUCACUUGAGGGGACUAUAAAACCAGACCCCCUGGCCCCUGGAGGAGACAAGUUCAUCAUAGAGUUGAGAGGAGCCCUCGAAGGAAUACCUCUCCUCUAAAUAAAAUUUCUUUUUAGGCUUAGCAACCAAUGUGAGUAGAAAUAGAUCUUCUCGUUUCUACUAGAUUGAGAGAGAUAGAGUGGAGGUGUAGAUCGGAGGAAGCCCGGCCUGUCGGUGUCUACUCCGAGCUUGUACCUGCGGGAUCAAGUUCUCCUAACCUGAGGAUUGCUCCUAGGAUUCUUCAGUAUUUUGACUUCUAAAUUCUAGUAAGUUCUUCUUUUAUUGUUCUUUUGGUUUAUGAGUUUACUUUAAUCUCUUCGCGUAGAGUUUAGAGUAAUCAUUUCUAGCGUAGACAUGGUGUUUGGGCUAGGAUACUCAUAGAUAUUCCCUGACUAGCUGGACCAUGGUAGUAGCGAGGAACGUGACAUUUCCGAGUUACCUUUGAAGACCAUAUCUCGUUAGCGGGAAGGAUAGGGUUUAUAGGUGCGGGUUGAACAUCCUCUGUGGUCUCUAGAUUCCGUUAGCCUCCCCAAUAGAACAGUAAAUCAUCCUUACCAAGGUUAGAAGGAGAUUACGGUUGUAGUCUUCUCUAUAUAUCACUCACAUCGAGAAACAUUCUUUGUAGCCUAAAGGGUUAGUAGUAAUAGACCGGGUUAGUCAGAUGCACUCUUUCUCCUAGUGAUAAAAAAAUAAAUACGAUACUCUGGAUAACCUCCCGGGUGAAGUGCUCACUGAUAUCCGUGCGCUUGCGGAUCAAUUCCUUAUUGCGUUCUCAAAUAUCAACAAGCAUUUCUAGCGCCGUUGCCGGGGAGAAAGACGGUUUGCUGAGAUAACCUUGAGUCUUACUACUAGCUUGUAUCUAUACUUUUAUCUUUUCUUAUCUUUUAUAUUCUUUGCUUAUUUUCUUUAUUCUUACCUUAUGGAAAACCAAAAUUCUAAAUCGAUCCAUGAAUCUACAAUCCCUUCAGUAACUGACCUUUUACCAUGGGAGUCAUCACAGCCUAUCCAAACAUCCCAGUAUAAGUUAAGUUCUAGGUUGAUUGUCAUGAUUCAAAACCUAUCUUUUUGGGAAAGGAAGACAAAAACCCUUACCUUCAUAUUAGAGUUUUUGAGCAAACAUGUGAUUGUCUUCGCAUUGAGGUCAUUUCUGAUAAAACUUUAUGUUGGAAGCUUUUUCCUUUUUCCUUAAGGGGAGAAGCUAGACAAUGGUACAGUCAGAAGGUAAGUCAACAAUGAGGUGAAUGGGGAGUUUUACGAGCCAACUUUUGUCUAGAUUUUUAUUCCCUCGACCGUAUCGGCGACCUUAGACUCGAAGUCUUAUCUUUUAAACAAAAAGAUAAUGAAACUUUGGGAAAAUCCUAGAAACGUUUUUCUGAUCUUUUAGAAUCUGGUCCGAACCUUAAUCUUGAAGACCCUGUUCUUUUAUUUCACUUUUUUUAAGGUUUUUAGAAAGAUCAUAAACAAAUGCUACAUACAAUGUCUAGAGGUUCUUUCUUUCGCAUCCCUACUGAUGAAGCUAGAGUGAUCCUAGAUAGAAUCCUAGAAACUGAGAUGGAUAAUACCCUUCAUGAUGAAACCCACGAAGCCGAAGUAGACACUCUACCAAAUUCUUCAUAUACUUUAGCUAUCCCAAGUUCUGAGCCACAAAAGGAAGAAAUUCCACCACCGAACUUCAUGUUAGAUAUAGAAUCUGAUCUUUUUGCCCAUUUUGGAAACAUUUCAAACUACCAUUCUAUUAACAGACCCCAAAACGGCCAGUUUAGCAUUUGUUUACCAAAUGAAUAUCAAUUGAGAGAGCUUAUUUCAGUCAUGAGUAGCGAGUGGUUGGAGGAAUCAGAGCUUUCCUCUGAUGUGAUCCGUUUGGGCACACCCUCUAUAACUAUACGCUGUGCUUAUAAUUCUGAUCGAUUUGAUGCUCUCUAUAAUCCUGUUGUGGGGAUCAACAUCAUGUCUGAAUCUUUUGCACUUAAAUUAUUUAAAAAUCUUGUCUUAACCCCCACAACAAAGGUCAUAAAGGAAUCUUCGGGACGAUUAGUCCCCAGUCUUGGAAUUAUUAAUGUCCUACCUCUUACGGUAGAAGGCUCCAUGGUUUAUUUGAACUUCUAUAUCUUUGAUACAUGGGACUUCGACCUGUUGAUAGAACAACCUUUUAGAAGACUCCUUUAUGAAGGUCAUACUGGAAAGCUACACAUUUCUUUUGGAAAAACCUUUAAAUUCCCAAUAACAAUUUCACACUCCUCAAACAAUAAGGUCGAGUCAUAUCUUUUGCCUGAUCCUAUGGAGGAGGUAAAGGCUGCAUCUCUAGAGCUUUUAGAUGAACCAGACUUAGAAGACGAAGCUCCUUUCUUCACAGAAGAAGAAGCUGAACCUUCUGAACCUGAACCCUUAGAUGAGUUUGCAGAAACACCUAGACCUCCCAUAGAGCUUAAAACUUUACCACCCAGUCUUAUCAAUGUUUUCCUAAACAAUAAUCUAGAGUUUCCUGUGAUCAUUAGUGAUAAACUCACUCAGGAUCAAACUCUGCGAUUAAUGACCAUUCUUGAGAAACAUCACUCAGUUUUCGGCUACUCACUCCAAGAUCUUACAGGAAUCAGUCCUAUGAUUUGUACCCAUCGUAUCCCAAUAGAUCCUUCUGCUUCACCUUCUCGAGAGCCCCAACGUAGACUUAACAACACUAUGAGAGAGGUAGUUAAGAAGGAAGUUAUAAAGUUGCUGCAUGCAGGGAUUAUAUAUCCUGUCCCGCACAGUGAGUGGGUGAGCCCAGUUCAAGUUGUGCCUAAAAAGGGAGGCAUGACUGUCAUUAUGAAUGAAAAGAACGAGCUAAUUCCGCAACGCACCAUCACAGGAUGGCGAAUGUGCAUAGACUAUAGAAAACUGAACAAAGCCACGAGAAAGGAUCAUUUUCCUUUACCUUUCAUAGAUGAGAUGCUAGAGCGAUUAGCGAACCAUUCGUUCUUCUGUUUCUUAGAUGGAUAUCCAGGGUAUCACCAGAUCCCGAUCAAUCCUGAUGAUCAAAGCAAAACCACUUUUACAUGCCCGUAUGGAACUUAUGCUUACUGUAUAAUGUCUUUUGGGUUAUGUAAUGCACCAGCUUCUUUUCAAAGAUGCAUGAUAUCUAUAUUUUCUGAUAUGAUUGAAGAGAUUAUGGAAGUUUUCAUGGAGGAUUUCUCUGUUUAUGGAAAAACUUUUGAUAGUUGUCUUGAAAACUUAGACAAGGUUUUGCAAAGAUGUGAAGAAAAGCACUUAGUCCUUAAUUGGGAAAAAUGUCAUUUUAUGGUUAGGGAAGGAAUAGUGCUGGGACACCUAGUGUCUGAAAGAGGUAUUGAGGUAGACAAAGCUAAAAUUGAAGUAAUUGAACAACUACCUCCACCUGUGAAUAUAAAAGGAAUUCGAAGCUUUCUUGGCCAUGCUGGUUUCUAUCGCAGAUUCAUAAAAGAUUUCUCAUUCAUUGCUAGACCACUUACUCUUUUGCUAGCCAAGGAUGCUCCUUUCGAAUUUGAUGAUGCAUGCUUAACAUCUUUCAAUUUAUUAAAGAAAGCACUCAUCUCUGCACCAAUCAUUCAACCCCCUGAUUGGUCGUUGCCUUUUGAAAUUAUGUGUGAUGCUAGUGAUUAUGCUGUGGGGGCAGUUUUGGGACAAACUAAAAAUAAGAAGCAUCAUGCAAUUGCUUAUGCCAGUAAAACUUUGACUGGAGCUCAACUUAAUUAUGCAACCACUGAAAAAGAGCUUCUGGCUGUUGUCUUUGCUAUUGAUAAAUUUAGAUCUUAUUUAGUUGGAGCUAAAAUAAUUGUUUACACUGAUCAUGCUGCACUAAAAUAUUUGCUCACUAAAAAAGAUGCUAAACCUUGCCUGAUUAGAUGGAUCUUAUUACUCCAAGAAUUUGAUUUAGAAAUAAAAGAUAAAAAGGGAGUAGAAAAUUUUGUUGCUGAUCACUUGUCUAGAAUGUAUUUUAAGAGUCCACAGGAAACUCCCAUCAAUGAUUCACUCCGGGACGACAUGCUCUACGAGAUUAACAGAUCUGACCCCUGGUAUGCAGAUAUUGUUAAUUUUAUGGUUUCAGGGUAUGUACCGCCAGGAGCAAACAAGAAGAAGCUUAUUCAAGAAAGUCGUUCACAUAUAUGGGAUGAGCCAUACCUCUUCCAGGUAUGCUCUGAUGGCUUACUCAGGAGAUGUGUGACCACUGAGGAAGGAUGGAAGAUUAUCGACAGAUGUCAUUCAUCACCAUAUGGAGGUCAUUAUGGAGCAUUCCGUACACAUUCAAAGAUCUGGGCAGUGUGGAUUCUACUGGCCUACAAUGUAUGAAGACACGAAGCAAUAUAUCAUAAGAUGUGGGCCAUGUCAAAGGCACGGAAACAUAAACACAAGAGAUGCCAUGCCACUCACCAACAACCUUCAGAUUGAGCUCUUUGAUGUUUGGGGAAUAGACUAUAUGGGUCCAUUUCCCCCAUCAAAGAAGUGUGAGUACAUCUUGGUGGCAGUUGAUUAUGUCUCCAAGUGGGUAGAGGCACUACCUUGCAAGCAUGCCGACAACAUCAGUUCAAAGAGGAUGUUUGAAGAAAUUAUGUUUCCAAGAUUUGGAGUCCCCAGAGUAGUGAUAAGUGAUGGAGGAGCACACUUCAUCGACAACGCUUCAAGCAAUAUCUAUCAAAACAUGGAAUCCGUCACAACAUCGCUACCCCCUAUCAUCCUGAGAUAAGUGGCCAAGCAGAGACUUCCAACAAGCAAAUCAAGAAUAUUCUUCAGAAGACAGUGAAUGAAAUGGGAACGGCAUGGAAAUACAAGUUACCCGAUGCACUCUGGGCAUACCGGACAGCAUACAAGACCCCAAUUGGAAUGUCCCCAUACCAAUUGGUGUACAGGAAGACUUGCCACCUACCUGUUGAACUAGAGUUCAAAGCACACUAGGCCAUAAAGAGAUGGAAUAUGGACCUAGAUGUCGGUGGAAAACAUAGAAGAAUGCAACUAUCAAAAUUGGAAGAAUGGCGAGAAAAAGCAUAUCAGAAUUCAAAGAUCUAUAAAGAAAGAGUCAAAAGGUGGCAUGACAAGCGAAUCAAGAAGAAGCAGUUCACACCCGGAGAUAAGGUAUUAUUUUUUAAUUCCAAGGUGAAGCUUUUCGGGCAUAGAAAACUCCGGAGUAAAUGGGAAGGACCAUUCAAGGUAAUCAAUUCAUCAUCUCAUGGAGCUAUCACACUUCAAAAUGAUGAAGAUAUGUCAUUCAAGGUAAAUGGUCAACGUCUUAAAUUAUUUUUAGAGCCCAAUAAAGAAUUAGAAGAAAUAGACGUCGUCCAUUUUUACCUGCCCAUGGAGAAUUAGAGCCCGACCUUUUUAAUCUGACGUUUUUAGGUCAUACAUAUAUUUUCCUAAAAAGUUUUGCAUCUAGAAACACGCUCGAGGAAGCGGGCCCACAAAGGAGACAGAGAGAGGGCGGGCGCCCUGAUCAAGUGGGCGGGCGCCCAGCCCCUGUUCCCCCUCGGUCCCGAUUUUCUCUGUUAUGGAAAAUACACUUAUGGUAAUCCGAAUAAUCCCUCAGAUGGAAAGUUUCUCACGCACAUCGACGGGAGCAACCCGAACAACCCCUAGAGGCACUUUCUGACCCCUAUAUAAAUAGACCCCUGACAUCAGUUCUCAAACACCAAUCUACCCAAGCCUUCUCCUCUUCUUCAAUUAGAGCUUGGUCAGCCCCUCGCUGCUCCAGUGGCCGAGAAGUUCCACGAUGAUUGGGAGGUCAUCCCCUUCAACCUCAACAUGAAGCCUGAGGAAGACCCCGACGCCCAUGCUCUCGUCCCGGCCAACACAGAGCGACAACUAGAAGCCAUGCCAUUAUGCCAGCACAGCUCCGCCCAAUCCUACCAUGCUCAACCAGUUCUCACCACACCACCACAACCCCUGCUCCUCAAGGGAUCAUCAUCCAAGACAAAGACCACCAUCAAGGUGCCAACCGGCACAAGGAUCCUUCCACCUAGAUCCAAUGAGAGGGUAGUUGGAGUCAAGACCAACCGGAGCGGCAAGAUCAGCAGCAUCCGCUACACUACGGAGGAGGAGAGGCCUUACUUUGAAGGGAUAAGAGCAGCCAAAGUCCGUUUCAUCCCUCCAAAGGCAGCCCCGAAGCAUGCUCUCAAUGCUUUUGAGACACCUCCCAAGCAUCGCAAGACUAUAGUAGAUAUUGAUGAGGACGUUCGCAGGCUAGAUAGAGUCAUCAUAGACCUCCAGUCCUCAGUUAAUUCCAUCACUAGGCAGCUCUCUAACCACAACACCGUUAUACUAGGCCUUAGGCAGGAUCUUGCUAGUUCCAAUAAGAAGAUCAAGGAGUUAAAGCGCCGCUGAGUUAUCUAGAUUAGAUCUUGAGGCAAUGCAUCUUAGUUAUCUAUCUUUAAAAUUCGGUUUAGCACUUUUAUCAUCAGUUUGUUACUAUUAUCAUCAGUUUGCUACUAGUGAUUUGUAAUAAAUGCCUCAAGAUUAAUAAAGAAUAUUAUUAUUAUUAUUAUGUCUUGUAUGUCUCUACUUUACUUUUGUGCAAGAAAGCAGAAAACAAGUAUGGGGGAGAUCCCUUGACACGCCAAACACACUUCAACUACACCACUCCACGAUUCAGGUACAUACUCUGCACACUUUACUAUUACACAUACAUAUAUCUUAGAUUAUGCAGAAUAUUGUUUCCGACAUGAUAAAUUAAAAAGAUUAAAAUGCCUCUAAUCAUGAUCAAUCUCACUCUAUGAUAUUUCCUGAAAACUUACAAAAUCAUUCUAAAACCCUGUGUUACUUAGUCAUUAUGGAAUGAUAGAGUGUGAGUACCUUAUUCUUGAUAUCAUUGUUGCUUGGAGAAUUUAUUUCAAAAUCUUCAAAAAAUUCUAGCUACCAUCCUCAGUGUUUUAUAUGCCUGAUAAACCUGAAAAUAUUAACAUGAUAAUUAGAAAAGCUAUCUGCUAUGUAUGAGUUUGUUCAAAAUGAGUUAGACCCUUGUUGAGAGAUUUAUCAUACUCCCAAGAUCAAGACAUUUAUUCAGAAAGAUUCACUCUUCCAAAGUAUUAUUGCAUUAGAGGCAUGGGCUAUGCAAAAAUAAGGAUAUUUCGAGGAAAUAAAAAGGAGCAAGUGCUCGAUAACCUCGCAGAAAAAAAUAGACAAGUGUCUGGAAGUAGAAUUAGGGGUACCUCAGUAUCCACUUAAAAAAAUGAUAGCCCAUGGUCCCUCUAAUAAGCAAUAUGCCAGUAAGAGUUGACAAAGAUUUUAAUUACCAAAGUUUUUGAUCUAAGAGUAUGACAUUCUUCUCCUCGGAUCCUGUUUUGAUCAGGCAAUAAAUGCAAGGUAAGUAUGCUUGAGAAUUUUUGCAAAUUAAAAUAGCCUCAGUGAGAUAUAUAAAAGAUAAUGAGUGAUCUGAGAGAACCUAUGAGGAUAAAAGGUAUGCUAACUUUCUUUUCAAAAGUAUACAAAAACUCCAAGUGACAGGAUCGAAAGGAAGAAAGGAUCUUUACUCUUAACCAUAUAUUUCCCUGACUACAGUAUACAGUGGAUUUUUACAACACCCUGCAAGUAUGAAGAGAAUGUUUUAAAAUUUUUUAUCCCAGAUAUUGUUCUUAACCAUCCUUUUCUCGAGGACGAGUAAAAGCCUAAGUAUGGGGGUAUUUGUUGACGGUUCUUAAUUAUCAAUUUUAAUUAUCAAAUAAACAAGAGAAAGGACCAAUAUGCAACCAACACCUAGAAUUAGGGUUUGAUCUGACAGAAUUCCACGACUUUUGUUGUUUAUCUGUUUCUUCCGGGGGUUAUCAGGAAAUAAGGAAGAAAGGCCCACAUGUCGGGAUUACAUAGAGAUAUCAACGCACCGCGCAAUUUUCUACCAUCUAGAAGACUGCAGAAGCCACGGGAAGGAAGCGGAGGCCGAACGGAGCCAGGCCCUGGGCACCCGCCGAGUUGACCUGGGCGCCCGCCCCCCUGCAGAGUUGGAUCAGGACUCUCUUUCGGGACUGAUCUCCACCGACCUAAAGGAUCAAGGAUAACCGUCUAAUCAAUGUCGGUUUGAUCCAACAGCUCAUGUUCACUUGAGGGGACUAUAAAACCAGACCCCCUGGCCCCUGGAGGAGACAAGUUCAUCAUAGAGUUGAGAGGAGCCCUCGAAGGAAUACAUCUCCUCUAAAUAAAAUUUCUUUUUAGGCUUAGCAACCAAUGUGAGUAGAAAUAGAUCUUCUAGUUUCUACUAGAUUAAGAGAGAUACAGUGGAGGUGUAAAUCGGAGGAAGCCCGGCCUGUCGGUGUCUACUCCGAGCUUGUACCUGCGGGAUCAAGUUCUCCUAACCUGAGGAUUGCUCCUAGGAUUCUUUAGUAUUUCGACUUCUAAAUUCUAGUAAGUUCUUGUUUUAUUGUUCUUUUGGUUUAUGAGUUUACUUUAAUCUCUUCGCGUAGAGUUUAGAGUAAUCAUCUCUAGCGUAGACGUGGUGUUUGGGCUAGGAUACUCAUAGAUAUUCCCUGACUAGCUGGACCGUGGUAGUAGCGAGGAACAUGACAUUUCCGAGUUACCUUUGAAGACCAUAUCUCGUUAGCGGGAAGGAUAGGAUUUAUAGGUGCGGGUUGAACAUCCUCUGUAGUGCCUAGAUUCCGUUAGCCUCCCCAUAGAACAGUAGAUCAUCCUUACCAAGGUUAGAAGGAGAUUACGGCUGUAGUCUUCUCUAUAUAUCACUCACAUCGAGAAACAUUCUUUGUAGCCUAAAGGGUUAGUAGUAAUAGACCAGGUUAGUCAGAUGCACUCUUUCUCCUAGUGGUAAAAAAAUAAAUACGAUACUCUGGAUAACCUCCCGGGUGAAGUGCUCACCGAUAUCCGUGCGCUUGUGGAUCAAUUCCUUAUUGCGUUCCCAAAUAUCAACACCGGUCAAGAGAGGCGAUCCAGGACGCCCUGUCAUCCCGAUCUCCAUCGGCAUGGAGGACUUCCCAGAAGCACUCUGUGACUUUGGCUCUAGUGCCAACAUUAUACCCAGGGUACUCUAUGAAAAAUUCUUUACAUAUCCUUUAUUAGAGACAACCGUGUGUUUGCAGUUUGCAGAUCAGGCAUUAAGUUUCCCAAAGGGAAUAUUGAAGAACCUCUGCGUCCAAGUUGGUACCUUGUACGCCCCAGCAGACUUCGUGGUGAUAGAGACCGGAAAUGAUGAGAGGGCACCCAUCAUCUUAGGGAGGCCAUUCUUAAACACCUCGGGAGGUGUCAUCUACGCUAGCGCUGCCAAGAUUAGUUUCUACAUCAAAGGGAGGAAGGAGACGUUUUCCUUCAAGAACAAGACUACACAAAUCCCAGAUCAAUCCAGACGUGAAUCAAGGAAGAGGACCAACAGGAGGAACAGGAACAAGCAAGUGUGGACCGAGUCAGCUAAGAUGAUCACUGCAGUUCAUGGAGGCCAAGAUCACCAACUUAAGUCACCGUUUUUGACCAAGAGGGAUGACCCACGAAUGCCAAGCAUCUAUUGCUCCAUAAAUGGAUACAACUUCUACAAGACGUUUUGCGACACCGGAUCGGACGUCAACAUAAUGGCCGCAGUCACCUAUGUAACACCCAAGAUUUUGAAUUUUAAUUAAUAGGAUUUAAUUUGAAUUAUUUAAGAAUUUUAGUGAGCAUUUAAUGUAGCAAAUAAAUAAUUUUUGUGGAAAUUAAAAUUUAUCAUAAGCUUAGUAACAUGAUUUUGUGCAUUCAUGCUGAGAUAUAUCUUAUUUUGUGUUGAUUGUAUUUGGUUUAUAUUUAAUUGUCCUCAAAAUCCUUUUUGAAAAAGGCUUUAAAAAAAAAAGAAUAAAACAAAACAGAAAAGAAAUUGGAAAUAGAAAAAAAAAAGAGAAAGGAAGCCUCCCAGGCCGCAGCCCGAGCUUCCCCCUCUCACCCCUCGCGCGGCCCAGCUCCCUCUCCCGGCCCAACGCGCGCGCCUCCUUCUCCCUUCGGCUGACGACCGGGCCCCGCCCCGCUUCUCUCACUGGCAGCGCGGGCCCGCAUGGCAGCGGGCGCCUUCUCCUCCUUCCUUUCCUCUUCGCAACCGAGACGACCUCCCUCUCCUUCCGGAUACGAACGAAUCCCAUUUUGGACGGGAUUUGCCUUUCCCGAGCCCUAUAAGAUGCUAAGCAGUGCCCCGCGUGAUGUCUUUCCCCUCUACGCCGCAAAUACGAGCCCUAACCGCCUCGCGCGUCGUGAACUGGAUCUCGCCGAGUGAAACUCAACCCGCCGCCGCGGAGAGCCCACCUUGCACCCUCUCGGGCCGAACUAAGCGCCUUGGUGAGUUCGUCAUGAGGUCCUCGCUCUCCUGGUGUUCUUAUUUCGUUGUUUGGCGCUCGGAAUCGAGGAAUGGGUGAACUCCGGCGAGCUCGGGCUCCCAGCCAUGGCGCGCCACCGCGUCGGCUCCUGUUUCCGACGGCCGGCCGGCCAGGGGUGGCUCGGGGUGGUUUGGCAGCCGUCCGAUCAGGAUCCUGCGGCCGAGAUAGAAAGAUACCCCUUCGGGGGGUAUUUUUGUUAAAGAAACCCUGAGAAAUCCUAUUUCUAACCCGCGGUCCUUGGCGCCCCGAGCGGGUUUACGCUUUCCAAAUUCAGAAAGCGUAUUCUCUGUUGGUUAAACGAAAAUACGUUUUCAGCUAAUUACAGAACUGCCACUGAACUUAGAUUGCUCAUAAAAUAUUCAUUUUAACUCCGUUUUUGUCCAUUCAAAUUCCGUUGGAUUCGUAUUUACGAUCUCUACAUGUUAGAAGUAUUAGUUUACUGUUUUGAAACUUUUUAAUUCUGCAGUAGCAUUUAAUUAAUUAUUUCUUUAUAGGAAAUCUUAGAAAAUUCAUAUCUUUCACGUUUUAAUUCCGAUUUCCGUGAACUUUACGUUUGUGUGAUCGUAGCGCUGCGUAGAAUAUUAUCAUAAACUUGUAUAUUUGUUUUACCACUGUUUGGUGUAUUGUUCUAAUUAUAUCUUGUUUGCUUCGUGUAUGAUUGUCUACAUUGGAUUGCGUGUUGUUGAUUGAUGAUUGGAAUUAGACGGUGAGCUGUACGUUGGUGAUCAAGACCAAGCUUUUGAAGACCAGCGGGCUCAGGAGAGCUUUGGUCAAGGCAAGUAUAACUUGGGACCAUCCUUGUUACCUAUUCACUUAUAACUACACAUAUAUAUCAUAUGCAUGCUAUCACCUUGUCGACCUUAGCAAAAUCAUAGAUGAUUGUUACCUGUAUUCCUUGCCUACCUACUUGAUGUGCAUUUGUUGUAGAUGUGCUAGUGCUUGAUAUAAUCCAUGAUCUUGUAAGAUGAUUAAUAGCUAUGCAAUGAACAUAAAAGAAUGACACAUAUAACUGUAUGAGAUCUUGUCUGUAAGUGAUCACCGGGACAACAGUGCAACCAUGAGGGCUAUUAUGGCUCUGGCUUUAGCUCAGUAUGAAGCCCUUUUCUAGCUUGUUAGCGGUUACCCGAAAGGGCGGAGGGGCUGAACCGUUUUGGGUAUAGUGUGGCCUCUGUCUGUAUGAGUAUAGGCUGCGAGUCAUUGUGCCAUCGGAAGGGGGGCUCUAUAUCUGCGCGCAAAGGAAACCUUGCGGCCCUAACAUGUUAGACGAACUUUUGAAAGGCUUCAUAGUGAUCCCUGCCGACCUUCCUUGGGAGUGGGUUAAGAGGCUGAUCACCUCGGGCGAAAGGGUAAAUCAUGACUCAUGGGUAAAGAUGUACAACCUCUGCAGAGUGUAAAACUGGUAUACUAGCCGUGCUCACGGUUAUGAGCGGCCUUGGGGGUUCUUGCUGCGACGACGAUGAGCUUAUUAAGUUGUUAUGUUCAUUGGAUUAUCGUUUAUGCUAUGAGUUAAUUAUGCUUACAUUUGAUCAGGGGAUUAAUGGAUUAUCUAAGCUUCCUUGACAAUUGCUAUUUAAUUAUGAACAUGCUAUCCACUAUUAAAAGCUAAAUGCAGUCAAACCAGUGUCAGUUAAUUGAGCCUCAUGAACCCCUGGUUAUACUUGUUGAGUACGAUAUGUGCUCACUCUUGCAAUUUCCCAACACCUCAGGAUAUGAUAUUGAAGAUGACUGGAAUGAGGAUUACCGUAAUGAGUACUAGGUUUGGAGUCAACCAGUCAACAGUGUCCCUGUGUGGAGCUUCCGUCGAGAGCGUUGUUUACUUUAUGCUAUCAUUUUUAUAUGAGACUAUGUGAUUCAAUAUAUAUUCCGCUAUGUAAUAAACACUGCAAUGGUACAUUUGAGAUUUGUCUACUUAUGUGUGCGACUGUUUCUGGGGCACAUAUGAGUCUUUUAUGCAUCCUAUUUUGUUCUUAAAAUAUGGGUGUGACACCUAUCGGCUCUUAUUCGGAACCAUGCCCCUAAAACCAACAUACAUUCAGCUCUAGAUGGAAGAUCAGACAUUUCGAGAGGUUAAAGGUACAGUAACUGAUGUCCCUAUCAAAAUAGACGAUCAUUUUGUCUACACAGACUUUCAGGUUAUUGACAUGGGAGAAGAUGAAUACGAUCCACCCAUCAUCCUUGGAAGACCGUUCCUCAACACCGUUAAAGCAAUCAUCUACAUUGGAACUGGAGAAGUCCAUAUGCACUUCCCCUCAGAGAAGGUAUGCCGCUAUUUUACUGACCCUAACUAUAUCGUUGAAGACUCUAAGCAGGUCAGAAAACGACGCAACCGCAACCAGAGGAGGGAAAUCAUCAAUGAUGGAUGGGCAGACUAUGAAGGAGAAGUGGUAAGGUCAGAAGACAUACAGUUUAAACAGAAUUAUCCAGAGGAGACCGUAGCACCGAGUCAGGUGUGGAGAGAGAAGACUACUAUACACGAAGAAGAGGCGCUACUGGAAGCACCGACUGCGCCACUCAACGAAUCCCAGGACAACUAAGAAAACGGAGAGUCCCGUUCGGAGGACUUAAAAACACCGAACGCCUUGCCAAGAGGUAAACUUGGUAGUUAUCCUUUCCCUUUCAAUUAUUUAAAAUAGUUUACUUAAUUAGUUAUAUUUAUACUAUCCGAAAAAGAAAAUAAAAAUGUUAAAAAAACAGUAAGCCCCAUGUGAGUAUACGAGUGGCAUAAAACCCAUAAGUGCAUUCACUGUGGUGACAUAAAAAUAAAAUAAAUAUUUCUUUUCUGCUUUAUAAAAUGAAAAUAUAAAAAUAGAGAGUAAUAUUGAGGAGACUCAACAUGAUAAAGGCUAGAUAUUUAUGCUAACACCUAAUCAGUUCCCCAAAGCUUUGUUGUUUAUUUGAGCUCCACAGAAAUCAAGAAUCAAGAAGACUAGCAGACGGAGGACAUUCUAAUCACUGUCAGGAUACUGCCGACUUUCAAAUACACCUCUGCCACCUGCUAGCUACAUCAAGAGAAAUUACGUCAAAAUUCAGCUUGGGGGAGAGCACCCCCAUUUACACUUAUAUUAUAUUAGAAUAUAAAUAUACAUAAACCAGAAAAAACCAAAUAAAGAUUUUGUGCCUAUAUAAAUAUAUGUCUUUUGCUUAGUGUGUUUAAUAAAUAAAUAAAGUGGCUAUUCUAAACUGUAUCUAAAUAAAACUCUAGUAUGGAUAUGAUGAAUAGUUGCUCGACCUAAUUUGCAAAUUUGAAGUUCUCUCACUAGUUUAGACAUAACUGUUAUAAUUUAAAGCUUGCUCUAAACCUAAACUUGUUGGAAGAAAACUUGAUCUGAAGUCUAAGUUGUUAACGGAUACGAUAUGGGAAGGUUGAGCUGCUGUUUAUCUGUUCCUAGAGAUGCUAGAAAUUCUGGAGAAUUUUAUCUUUUAAAAUCUUUAAAGUAGCACAUGAUGAGUUCCUGUAUGAUGAGAGUUUAAAUUCCUACCACAGCCAUAUAUACAUGCUUAUUAGAUUUUGAGCCACACAUUUACUUUUUACUGCUUAUGAGCAUUGAGUGUGGUCAAGUUGUGUAGACCCUUAGGAGCUUGUCAUGUGGUUAAAUCAAGAUUCACUUGCACGUUCAUUCACACAUGCUACUUCUACUCCGGAAGUACGCAUCCACAUAUAUCCACCCAUUUCCAUCUCUAGAACCACCCAAAAAUAUUCUACUCCUAAUAUGGGAGAGAAUGGCCAAAAAUAUUUCUGUUUCCCCUGUGAAAUAAAUGCUCAAGUUAUCUUGUUACUACCACUUGCUAUAUUAUCUCAAGAGAUGAGUGCUCUAAAAAAAGUAUACCAGGAAAUAAAAAGGGGCAAGUGCCCGGAACCUCGAAAGAAAAGAAAAAGUGAGACGAGAGGUAAAAAUGGACAAGUGUCCGACAGUAGAAUUAGGGGUACAAGAUACCCACCUGAGAGGAAAGAAAAAGAAAAAAAAGAAGAAGAGCAUCUCAUUCUCCUCACAAAGUUUCAGAGAGCAAGGAAAGUAUGUAUCCCCUCAAAGAGCAAAAGUAGAAUUAGACUUCCACCAUUGUUAUCACCAUCAUCACCAUACACCAUUCAUUCGCCACACAUGCACAUCUUGAUUUGACUUAUUGAUUUGUUUCUUUGGAUCCAUAGUUUGACUAUACAAUAAAUGUCUUAUCAAGCCUUAUUAGAGUAGGGUGAGAGAGAAGGCAAUGUUACUAUGCCUUAUACCACAAAUACCACAUAUCUUGAGAGAAGAUAUAUACCAUCACUGUCUUGGUAAGGAUCCAAAAAUACCACAAAAGAGAGAUAUGAGAGUCAUACAAAGGAAUCUCUGAGUUUUAUUCAAAAAUCUCCAAAAACUCCAGAGCUAUAGCUGAUCAAGAAUAAGAGACAUGGCACUUGACUAGACUGUUCUAUCUUUUAACUACUCAAGACAGAAGUGACGGUUACAAGUCCCAUGGUGAAAGGUAAAAUGAAUAAGUUUUAAGUCUUGACAGUUUACUCUAACUCAGAGAUGAGAUCCUAUUUAAAAGCAUGUGUACCGUCAAUUUUUAAAAGUAUUGCAACAACUUCUGAUUGAUCACUGAAAUUAUCCUUGCUCAGGGACGAGCAAGAGGUAAGCUUAGGGGAGUUUGUUGACGGUCCUUAAGUAUCAAAUUUAAUUAACAAAUAAACAAAGAAAAUGAUCCAAAUGAAAUCAACAUCUAGACUUAGGGUUUUAUCUGACAGAAUUCUAUGAGUUUUGGUGUUUGUCUAUUUCUGCAGGGGGUUAUCAGGAAAUAAGGAAGAAAGGCCCACACGUCGGGAUUACAUAGAGAUAUCAAUGUGCCGCGCAAUUAUCUUACAUCUAGAAGACUCUAGAAGCCAUGGGAAGGAAGCGGAGGCCGAACGGGGCCAGGCACUGGGCGCCCGCCCAGUUGACCUGGGCGCCGGCCCCCUCUCAGAGUUCAAUUAGGACUCUCUUUCGGGAAAGAUCUCCACCGACCUAAAGGAUCAAGGAUAACCGUUCAAUCAAUGUCGGUUUGAUCCAACGGCCCAUAUUCACUUGAAGGGACUAUAAAACCAGACCCCCUGGCCCCUGGAGGAGAGAGCCUCUCAACCCUAAUUCAUUAUUCCUCAGGGGAGAAGAAGCCUCUGAUCAAGCCUAGCCACCACAUCAAUUAGACAUCUAGAUUAGCAUAGCUACAUAGGAUUAGAACUAGAAGGAGUCAAUCUUCGAUUGGUUUCCGGAUCUGUCAAGAGGAUUCUUGGUAAUUCUCUAAUUGUUCUUCUAAUUGUUCUUCUAAUCAUCUUUGUUCUUCAAUAUUAUGAAUAUGACUUUGUUCUACUUCAAUAUAUUACUUAUGACUUUGCUCUACUUGCUUAUAUUCAAGAUUAUAUUGUUCUUAGUUUAUCAUAAUUAUAUACUUGGCUUAGUUAGAUUGGAUCUGUAUACAUGUUUAGGAUCGUAUAGUGUUUAUCCAUCGGAUCCAUGGGUAAAUGAUAGAUAUUGUGUAGGCGUGGUGCUUAUACCGUAUUUAUCUGCGAUUGUACCCAAUAUGCCAGAUCGUGGGGUAGUUCGUGAUAGUGACAGCUUCAUUGAUUCUUAUAUAGUCCUCCUCUCGUGUAUUGGGCUGGCAGAGCAAUAUUAUUACAGGGUAGUGAUUGCUAUGUUUCUCAUUUACCUUGCUAAUAUCACUAUGCAUGGGCGUAGUCUUGUCUCACAAUGAUUGCUAAGUAUGCUUGCACUAACUAUAAUAAUUCUAGACUAUAUAGUUGAGAAUAACUUAGGAAACAUUCUUGUAGUUUGUUCUAAUACCAUGCUAAUGACUUUCUAGAGUAUCUAAUUGAGGUGCUUAUCAUAUUUAUUAUGUGGCUAAG
RNAcentral lists this long non-coding RNA (23859 nucleotides) under Sorghum bicolor (sorghum). Its description in RNAcentral is "long non-coding RNA (SBIC_LNC016362)". The record is from RNAcentral. Lineage: Eukaryota; Viridiplantae; Streptophyta; Magnoliopsida; Poales; Poaceae.